This 116-nucleotide ribosomal RNA is filed under the name Anopheles atroparvus. Its description in RNAcentral is "partial 5.8S ribosomal RNA". It matches the Rfam family "5.8S ribosomal RNA", at positions 48 to 154 of the family's 154-position model. From Rfam's summary of the family: 5.8S ribosomal RNA (5.8S rRNA) is a component of the large subunit of the eukaryotic ribosome. It is transcribed by RNA polymerase I as part of the 45S precursor that also contains 18S and 28S rRNA. The record is from RNAcentral. Lineage: Eukaryota; Metazoa; Arthropoda; Insecta; Diptera; Culicidae.
GCUAAAUGCGCGUCCAAUGUGAACUGCAGGACACAUGAAACACCGAUAAGUUGAACGCAUAUUGCGCAUCGUGCGACACAGCUCGAUGUACACAUUUUUGAGUGCCCAUAUUUGAU